This 279-nucleotide ribosomal RNA is filed under the name uncultured bacterium. RNAcentral describes it as "partial 16S ribosomal RNA". It matches the Rfam family "Bacterial small subunit ribosomal RNA", at positions 28 to 304 of the family's 1533-position model. The record is from RNAcentral.
GAUGAACGCUAGCGGCAGGCCUAAUACAUGCAAGUCGAACGGCAGCACGGGUAGCAAUAUCUGGUGGCGAGUGGCGCACGGGUGCGUAACGCGUAUGCAAUCUACCUUUAACUGGUGAAUAGCCCGAAGAAAUUCGGAUUAAUACACCAUAAUAUAUUAGAGUGGCAUCACUUUAAUAUUAAAACUACGGUGGUUAAAGAUGAGCAUGCGUGACAUUAGCUAGUUGGUGAGGUAAUGGCUCACCAAGGCUACGAUGUCUAGGGGAUCUGAGAGGAUUAA